AGAUUUCGCAUCAAAUUCAUAGGAAAUCGUGUCAUUUUUUUGGCUUGGAACAGAAUGGGAAUAUAGAGAAUGGAAUUAACCUAAGGUUGACCAGCUCUAGAAAUGGUGCCUGGGUCCAUCUCAUAAGAAAUCUUUGUGUUUCUCUCAGAUGAUUUUAGUCAGAUGUUCAAAGCGUGAGAAAGACAUGAUCCUGCUGGCUUCACAGAAGUAAACUGUCAUGUUGUGAACGGGAGGCCUCCAGGAGCUCAGCCCGACCUCCAGCUGACAGCCAGCAAGAAAGCAGGGUCUGUGUGCUGCACCAGGAGGAGCUGAAUUCUGUAACAGCCGGAAGGAGCUGGAAGAGAACCCUGAGCUGCAGAGAAGCCAGCCCAGCAGACACCUGAUUGCAGCGCUGUGAGAGGCUGACA
Molecule: long non-coding RNA, 407 nt
Organism: Myotis brandtii (Brandt's bat)
Lineage: Eukaryota; Metazoa; Chordata; Mammalia; Chiroptera; Vespertilionidae
Exons: 3
Source: RefSeq, a predicted model, not a curated record